CUAGCUGUAAAUGAUGGAUACUAGGCGUUGAGAGUAUCGACCCUCUCAGUGUCGUAGCUAACGCGUUAAGUAUCCCGCCUGGGGAGUACGCGCGCAAGCGUGAAACUCAAAGGAAUUGACGGGGGCCCGCACAAGCGGUGGAGUAUGUGGUUUAAUUCGAUGCAACGCGAAGAACCUUACCAGGGCUUGACAUGUCCGGAACCCUGCCCAAAGGCGGGGGUGCCUACGGGAACCGGAACACAGGUGGUGC
This 250-nucleotide ribosomal RNA is filed under the name uncultured Chroococcidiopsis sp. RNAcentral's name for it is "partial 16S ribosomal RNA". It matches the Rfam family "Bacterial small subunit ribosomal RNA", at positions 796 to 1044 of the family's 1533-position model. Lineage: Bacteria; Bacillati; Cyanobacteriota; Cyanophyceae; Chroococcidiopsidales; Chroococcidiopsidaceae. The record is from RNAcentral.